ACUGCUCAGUAACACGUGGAUAACCUACUCUUAGGACUGGGAUAACCCUGGGAAACUGGGGAUAAUACCGGAUAGUUAGGGGUUCCUGGAAUGGUCUUCUAUUUAAAUGUUCAGGCGCCUAAGGAUGGAUCUGCGGCAGAUUAGGUAGUUGGUGGGGUAAUGGCCCACCAAGCCUUUGAUCUGUACGGGUUGUGAGAGCAAGAGCCCGGAGAUGGAACCUGAGACACGAAUCCAGGCCCUACGGGGUGCAGCAGGCGCGAAAACUUUACAAUGCUGGCAACAGCGAUAAGGGGACCUCGAGUGCCAGGAUACAAUCUUGGCUGUCGUGAUGCCUAAAAAGCAUUGCAUAGCAAGGGCCGGGCAAGACCGGUGCCAGCCGCCGCGGUAACACCGGCGGCUCGAGUGGUAACCGCUAUUAUUGGGUCUAAAGGGUCUGUAGCCGGCCGGAUAAGUCUUUUGGGAAAUCCAGCUGCUCAACAGUUGGGCUUCCAGAAGAUACUGUUCGGCUCGAGGCCGGGAGAGGUGAGAGGUACUUCAGGGGUAGGGGUGAAAUCUUGUAAUCCUUGAAGGACCACCAGUGGCGAAGGCGUCUCACCAGAACGGUCCUGACGGCAAGGGACGAAAGCUAGGGGCACGAACCGGAUUAGAUACCCGGGUAGUCCUAGCCGUAAACGAUACUCGCUAGGUGUCAGCCACGAUGCGACCGUGGUUGGUGCCGUAGGGAAGCCGUGAAGCGAGCCACCUGGGAAGUACGGCCGCAAGGCUGAAACUUAAAGGAAUUGGCGGGGGAGCAC
This 794-nucleotide ribosomal RNA is filed under the name uncultured Methanosaeta sp. RNAcentral describes it as "bacterial SSU rRNA". It matches the Rfam family "Archaeal small subunit ribosomal RNA", at positions 85 to 879 of the family's 1478-position model. The record is from RNAcentral. Lineage: Archaea; Methanobacteriati; Methanobacteriota; Methanomicrobia; Methanotrichales; Methanotrichaceae.